UACUAAAGAAAUGGAACUAAAUGGUUAGUAUUAUUUAGUAAAAAGAAAAACUAAAAAAAUUUGAUAGUAUAUUGCUCUUCUUGUUUUUGUGGGCUCAAGAAGCUUUCUUGCAACUAUUUUUUAAAGCCUUGUCAUCAAAAAAUAAUGUAAUAACAUGUCAUGGAUCAUAUAUCUUCCCUCCUUGGUGGACCUUACACUAUUAUGAUUUACAUGUCAUACCUACCAAUCCUGCUAGACCACUCCAUUGUUGCCCCAACCCUUGUUUAAAUUAUUUUUGACAAGAAAGGAAGCUUUUUAAUGUCAAGAAUGUUCCCAUCUUUCUAAAUAUAAGAAGCUCUGAUUGACAGAGUAGGGAACUCUCUCUCUCCCCCUCUUUUGUAUUAGUGUUUUGAUAAGUUGGUGGGCCAUGGUUAAAUCAAGGUUCAUCGCAAAGAAAUCUAGAUCCUUAAUGUGUUCUUAACAUUGGCUAAUCACUGUUUUUAUUUCUCUCUGUUACUUUCAGGAUUUGUGAUUCCAAAAGGAUGGAGAAUCUAUGUGUAUACUAGGGAGAUAAACUAUGAU
Molecule: unclassified non-coding RNA, 561 nt
Filed under: Hevea brasiliensis (rubber tree)
Lineage: Eukaryota; Viridiplantae; Streptophyta; Magnoliopsida; Malpighiales; Euphorbiaceae
Source: RNAcentral